UUUGCAAUUCAUUUGUAUCUGCUUCACUUCUAAUUUGCAGUUGAUUUUUCUCUCUCUACUGUGUACUGACUCACCUAAAGAUCUUCCCUUUCUGAGUUCUACUAGACAGGGAUAAUUCUCUUUCAACUUCGCUGCUCUCAAGUGUCGUCUACUCUCUUUGAUCCUUCCACUGGGUGUGCAUAUGGUGUUUCCAAUUACUAGUCUAAAGAGCUCGAAACCGCAUCUGCAAAUCAGCUUCCCAAGUGAGUGAAAUGCUGAAAUUUCAAGCUAUCGUAUGUUCAACCUUGCUUCUGUUCUUCUAGUUGGGUGCUUUACUAAAUUUUGUAGUAGCUCUUAGUCUAUUGUAUUUGGGUGAAGAUGCAUUUUAACUUUUCUUGCCUCUUCCAUGAAUGUUUUACUUUUCAUAUGCUUGACAAAGUACACAUUUUUAACAUAAAGUUACUUCUUAAUUUGAAUAUCUUGGCAUAAGUUAAUGAUUUGAAAGAGAGUGAUAUGCAGUUAAAUCUCAUUUUAAAAAUGUAUAACUGUGUUA
Molecule: long non-coding RNA, 532 nt
Organism: Nicotiana tabacum (common tobacco)
Lineage: Eukaryota; Viridiplantae; Streptophyta; Magnoliopsida; Solanales; Solanaceae
Source: RefSeq, a predicted model, not a curated record